This 74-nucleotide transfer RNA is filed under the name Candidatus Kaiserbacteria bacterium RIFCSPHIGHO2_02_FULL_49_16. Its description in RNAcentral is "tRNA-Gly". It matches the Rfam family "tRNA". Rfam says of the family: Transfer RNA (tRNA) molecules are approximately 80 nucleotides in length. Their secondary structure includes four short double-helical elements and three loops (D, anti-codon, and T loops). Further hydrogen bonds mediate the characteristic L-shaped molecular structure. tRNAs have two regions of fundamental functional importance: the anti-codon, which is responsible for specific mRNA codon recognition, and the 3' end, to which the tRNAs corresponding amino acid is attached (by aminoacyl-tRNA synthetases). tRNAs cope with the degeneracy of the genetic code in two manners: having more than one tRNA (with a specific anti-codon) for a particular amino acid; and 'wobble' base-pairing, i.e. permitting non-standard base-pairing at the 3rd anti-codon position. The record is from RNAcentral. Lineage: Bacteria; Candidatus Kaiseribacteriota.
GCGGGCAUGGUUCAGUGGCAGAACGCGUCCUUGCCAAGGACGAGGCGGGAUUUCGAUUAUCCCUGCCCGCACAA